UACGUAGGUGGCAAGCGUUAUCCGGAAUUACUGGGCGUAAAGCGCGCGCAGGCGGUUCUCCAAGUCAGUGGUGAAAGCCCGGAGCUCAACUCCGGAACUGCCAUUGAAACUGUUGAACUUGAGGACGAGAGAGGUGAGUGGAAUUCCCAGUGUAGAGGUGAAAUUCGUAGAUAUUGGGAAGAACACCGGUGGCGAAGGCGGCUCACUGGCUCGUAUCUGACGCUCAGGCGCGAUAGCGUGGGGAUCAAACAGG
This 253-nucleotide ribosomal RNA is filed under the name uncultured bacterium. RNAcentral describes it as "partial 16S ribosomal RNA". It matches the Rfam family "Bacterial small subunit ribosomal RNA", at positions 524 to 776 of the family's 1533-position model. The record is from RNAcentral.